This 65-nucleotide transfer RNA is filed under the name Etrocorema hochii. Its description in RNAcentral is "tRNA-Ser". Lineage: Eukaryota; Metazoa; Arthropoda; Insecta; Plecoptera; Perlidae. The record is from RNAcentral.
GAAAUAUGGGUCAAGAAGGAGCUGCUAACUCCCAUCUUUAGCGGUUUAACUCCGUUUAUAUUUCU